RNAcentral lists this transfer RNA (60 nucleotides) under Abacion magnum. RNAcentral describes it as "tRNA-Gln". Lineage: Eukaryota; Metazoa; Arthropoda; Diplopoda; Callipodida; Callipodidae. The record is from RNAcentral.
UUUAUAAAGGUGUAAUUGCACAGGAAGGUUUGAUUUUCCAAGCACUGCGGAGGCAGAGUA